Zophobas morio is the source of this 381-nucleotide long non-coding RNA. RefSeq lists it as uncharacterized. The record is from RefSeq and is a predicted model, not a curated record. NCBI's taxonomy places the organism in Eukaryota, Metazoa, Arthropoda, Insecta, Coleoptera, Tenebrionidae. The transcript is spliced from 3 exons.
GCGCUGGACAACAAGCUAAUCAUUACUUUACCUGUUCUCGAAAAGUACAAUAACAAGCAAAAGUCAGAAGUUCGGCUCUCCUCCGCUCUGGCGUCCGUUCCCUUCCAGUCACUGCAGCAGCAAAAAGCUCUUUUGGAUGAGUUAAAAAAAGUUCGAAUGCAGCUGGCGAGAAAGUACAACUGUUCGAACGCUUCAGUGUUUACCGAUGAGACUCUUAUUGAAAUGGUCUCGAAACUCCCAAAGUGCAGAGAAGAAUUUAUGGAUAUUAUUGGAAUGACUUUACCAAAAUAUAAAAAAUUCGGGAGUGAAUUUCUAGCGACUAUUGUGAAAUCAGCUCCGGCAGGCUACAAUUUAAAGAAACUAAAGUUUUUUUUCUACGGA